Molecule: transfer RNA, 85 nt
Organism: Coniochaeta ligniaria NRRL 30616
Lineage: Eukaryota; Fungi; Ascomycota; Sordariomycetes; Coniochaetales; Coniochaetaceae
Rfam family: tRNA
About the family: Transfer RNA (tRNA) molecules are approximately 80 nucleotides in length. Their secondary structure includes four short double-helical elements and three loops (D, anti-codon, and T loops). Further hydrogen bonds mediate the characteristic L-shaped molecular structure. tRNAs have two regions of fundamental functional importance: the anti-codon, which is responsible for specific mRNA codon recognition, and the 3' end, to which the tRNAs corresponding amino acid is attached (by aminoacyl-tRNA synthetases). tRNAs cope with the degeneracy of the genetic code in two manners: having more than one tRNA (with a specific anti-codon) for a particular amino acid; and 'wobble' base-pairing, i.e. permitting non-standard base-pairing at the 3rd anti-codon position.
Source: Rfam
GGUUUAUUAGUGUAGUGGUUAGCACGUGGGAUUUUGACUACACUGUAAUCUUCCCGAGUCGCAGGUUCGAGCCCUGCAUAGACCU